Molecule: ribosomal RNA, 491 nt
Filed under: uncultured bacterium
Lineage: Bacteria
Description: partial 16S ribosomal RNA
Rfam family: Bacterial small subunit ribosomal RNA
Source: RNAcentral
AGUGAACGCUGGCGGUAGGCCUAACACAUGCAAGUCGAACGGCAGCACAGUAAGAGCUUGCUCUUACGGGUGGCGAGUGGCGGACGGGUGAGGAAUACAUCGGAAUCUACUUUUUCGUGGGGGAUAACGUAGGGAAACUUACGCUAAUACCGCAUACGACCUACGGGUGAAAGCAGGGGAUCUUCGGACCUUGCGCGAUUGAAUGAGCCGAUGUCGGAUUAGCUAGUUGGCGGGGUAAAGGCCCACCAAGGCGACGAUCCGUAGCUGGUCUGAGAGGAUGAUCAGCCACACUGGAACUGAGACACGGUCCAGACUCCUACGGGAGGCAGCAGUGGGGAAUAUUGGACAAGGGGCGCAAGCCUGAUCCAACCAUACCGCGUGGGUGAAGAAGGCCUUCGGGUUGUAAAGCCCUUUUGUUGGGAAAGAAAAGCAGCAGGUUAAUACCCCGCUGUUCUGACGGUACCCAAAGAAUAAGCACCGGCUAACUUCGU